UAUAUAUAUAUAGUUGAGCUAGAAUACUUUUAGCUUUUAAGUUUUUAGCCAUUGGAUGGAGAGAUGUGAGGUUGAGAUGAUGAUGGUAGUUGGUGGUAGGUGGGAUAGUGUUUGAUCCAAAGGCUAUCAGUAAUCAAGGAGUAGAUCCAAGGACUAGAAACUUAGAAGCACCAAGGGAUUGGUAUUUCUAAUAGUGCGUUUGGUUCGAGUUAUGUAAUAUUACAGAGUAUUUUGACAUAUCCAGAUAACUUGAAUUUCGGCGUUAGAUUACUACUGAUACUGCAUUAGCGCGUUUGGUUUAAUACAGUAAUAUAAUACUGGAUUGCAGUGUUUAUAGCAUUACUACAUUUGUUUCAACAUAUAAAAUUUAGUAAUUCUGACAUAAAAAUAUAAUUUUUUCUAAAAUUGUCCUUGUUGUGGUCAUUUGAAUAUUAUUUUUUACUAAAAUAUAAUUUGCACUAGUAAAUUAAUUAUAUUAAGAAGUAAAAAAAUAAAAAGCCCAAACAUGAAAAAAAAAAUUAACGUUGCAAAAAGUUAAUUUCAACCCAUAAAAGAAAAUAAUAGGUGUUCGUGCGAGAGAGAGAAAAAGAUAGAGAGAGAACGAGAGAGAGUGGAGUGCGAGAGAGAGAGCGAGAGAGAGCGGCGUGCGAGAGAGAGGGGGGAGGGCGUGGGAGAGAUGAAAACAAUACUGUUAAUUGGGGUUGGGGUGUCGGAGGAUAAAAUUGUUAUUUUACAUAAUAUGUAGUAUUACCGGUUUUCAGUAAUGCAAAAUACACGACCCCCUCUCGUUAAUAUUUUUGGUGUAAUCCUGCUCGAUUUGUAAUGUUACAUUAACGACUAGAUUAUAUAGCGGAUGAACCAAACACGAAAAUCCUGAUAGGAUUAUCUGUAAUUCUGCCAUGAUAACUCGAACCAAACGCACCCUAAAAGUAUUUUAGCUCAAUUUUAUA
Molecule: long non-coding RNA, 950 nt
Filed under: Ananas comosus (pineapple)
Lineage: Eukaryota; Viridiplantae; Streptophyta; Magnoliopsida; Poales; Bromeliaceae
Description: long non-coding RNA (ACOM_LNC032476)
Source: RNAcentral